GUUUCUUUUUUUAAAUAACAUUUUCGCUUUUGCUUUUCUAGGUUUGUUUAUCUCAGAUUUUAGUGUUUCCUUGUAAUACACUUUUUCCAACGUAAGAGUUAAUUGUAUUCUCUCUUGAUGGUCUGAACACUCUCCCUGCCUUUCUUAAAGCAGCAGAUCUUUGGUUUUGAAGAGGAUUACGGUAUUGGUGCUUUUUAUUGCUGGUUAUACCUAGGUAUAACCAGCCUUCAUGUGGCUGGGAAGUCAUUUGUUUUUAAUAGUCCAGAAUGCUCCUGUCUGAUAUUUAGCAUUUCUUUGUCUUUUCACAUGAUUUUUUGACUCCAAGAGAAAUCCAAGAAAAUUUGAACUAAUUGUUGAGAUGUUUAAGGUGAUGACGAAAUGUGCUCUUACUUUGACGAUUAUUAAGACACAGAAGCUAGCUCUUGGUUUUGAAAUCAUAUAACCAUGUAUCUUCAUUUUUAAUCUUUCUUCUCCCAUUUAUCACUCCAGCUGUUCUGUUGCUACCUUGUUCUUUUGUGUUUCUGUCCUGCUUCCCUGUCUUUUUUCUUCCUGUUUGUGCAUAUGUGUGUUCAUUAAAUUCCCGAUUUUAGGCUAAAUUUGGUGGAAAGCCUUACUUGCUCAGAUUAGGGAAACCAGGUGUGACCGAAUGCUGCAUUUACUUGGUCUCUCUUUUGGGGAAUGAGCUCAUUAUUGAAUUAGUCUAUUCAUAAUAACAUUGACAAGCAGACGUUAAGAACAUGGAGGCCUGAGGGAUACAGAGAAGCAUUACUAAUUCUCUGAGGAAUAUAAUUCCUAAAUUCAAUCAUCCUUUUUUUAAAUGAUUUUUUUUUAUUUAGCUGAAGUAAGUAAGUUAACACAGCUUUUGGCAGACAGUGUGGGGCCCGAACACAUACUGGGGAAAAAAAAAAAACCUACCAUCUGAAUAGUGAAAUGCUGACUGGGCAGUAUUGAGGUUGGCAUUGAUGAGCCAUUAUUAUUACUAUUUACUUUUUUUUUUGCUUUUUAGGGCCACACCUGUGGCAUAUGGAGGUUCCCAGGUUAGGGGUCGAAUUGGAGCUGCAGCUGCUGGCCUAUGCCACAGCCACAGCAAUGUGGGAUCAGAGCUGAGUAUGUGACCUAUACCACAGCUCACGGCAAUGCUGGAUCCUUAACCUGGUGAGCAAGGCCAGGGAUUGAACCCAUAUUCUCAUGGAUAUUAGUCAGGUUCAUUACGCUGAGCCACAACCGGGACUCCCUACUCUUUACUCUGAAUGGAUUUUGAAGGGAGGUAGGCUAGCAUAGAUACCACAUCAUUUUUACUGGUCUUGCAAGCUCCAAGAGGCCCAGAUUUUUUUCUUUUUCCUCAGUACAUGGUCUAGAAUAAGUGUUCCUUUUGUACAUUGGAUGAAUGAAUACGUAGCAAAUGAAGACUUCUUUUUGUGGUAAAGAGCUUAGAUGAUGACAAAGUUAAGUUUAUGUUUAAUGCACUGAACAUUUUAACCAGCCGAGGUGGAUUGAGGAGACACAGAGCAUCUCCCUUACAAUUCUUUCUUUGUAGAGGGAAGUGUUUCAAAAAGAAAUACUGGGCAGUUCCUGCCAUGGCUCAGUGGAAAUGCACCCAACUAGCAUCCAUGAGGACACAGGUUUGCUCCCUGGCUUCAUUCAGUGGGUUAAGGAUCUGUCAUUGCAAUGAGCUGCGGUAUAGAUCGCAGUUGAGGCUCUGAUCUGGCAUUGCUGUGGCUGUGGCAUAAGCCAGCAGCUGCAGCUCUGAUUUGACCCCUAGCCUGGGAACUUGCAUAUGCCACGGGUGUGGCCCUAAAAAGACCAGAAAAAGGAGAGGAGUACUGUAUCCCUGCCAUUCAUAGUCUCAGCUUCAUUUUCUUUUGCUCUCUUGUAAACUCAUAUACAUAAACACACUUUAGAGACUUAUUUUUUUCUAUUGUUUUUAGUAGGGACAGGUUUUAUGAAAUGGGCUCCAUCAAUUCAAAUAAAUUUGAAGCUAUGUAAAAUAAAUGUAACAGCACUACCAAAAUAGCCAGAAAUAAUAGACUGCAGUAGCGUGUCUCAGCAUUCUUUAAGCAAUGUCUAAUCAAGCAUGGACAGCAUCUGUAUUUCCAGCAAGUCUCCAUAGGAAUGUUACCUUCUAACACAGUAAUUAAUCACUAGUUGCCGUGUGUCAGAAAACUUAACAAGAAGUUCCAAGGCUCUUGUAGUGUUUCAUUUUCAUGGCCUUCCUGGCCACUGGAAAAUAGAACACUCUUUUCCUCAUAAAGAAAUGAGAGAUCUGGACUGAUUCCAUCUGUAUUGAUUCUUCUACUUGUGGUCUUAAGUUGUCUCUCUCGCUCUUUUUUUUGUUUGUUUGUUUGUUUUUUAAAAUACACGCCUUUUCUCUAAUCACUCAUGUGGAUAAAUCUUGGGUGAGAUCAGGAUAGCUUAUAACAUUACAGGGAUUGCAGAGCCCCUGUCUCUGCUGGAGUUUUGACACUUUUUACCCAACUGGUGAUUUUUAGACUCCCAAGGGGCCUUGUCCUGAAAAAUCAGUACAGACUGUUUAGGAAGUGGAAGGCCUUUCCGAGUGUGCUCUUCAUCACACAUCAUCUUACCCUCAGCUGCCAGGUGCUUCUCCAGAACUGAGUCAUUGAAACAACCCAGGAGUCCAGGCAGUGCAUGACGGGAGACGUCUGAAUGGGCACUGAAGUGCCCAGGGUGGACCCGGCAGUUCGCAUGAAGGCGUCAUUGAAAAAACAUCCCCGUUUCCUUCCCAGAACUCCCAUCUCCUUCUCCAUCUCCCUUCUGGGUGUGUCGCCCGUCUUUUCUCCUUCAUCUCUCCUGUUGCCUCUCUCAUGUCUCCUUGAUUUUGUGGUCCUUUUGGUUUUCUUUAGACUAGUCGUGUGUCUCAUUCUUGAGUCUGACAAAAAAUAAGGAAAUGGAAGCUGAGGUUCAGGAAGGGGUUAGGUUCUAACCCAUGAGAAAGCUUCCUCAGGAGUUCCCAUCGUGGCUCCGUGGAAACAAAUCUGACUCACAUCCAUGAGGACGCGGGUUUGAUCCCUGGCCUCGCUCAGUGGGUUCAGGAUCUGGCGUUGCCAUGAGCUGUGGUGUAGGUCGCAGAUGCGGCUUGGAUCUCACGUGGCUGUGGCUGUGGCCGGCGGCUACAGCUCCGAUUCAACCCUUAACCUGGGAACCUCCAU
This 3167-nucleotide long non-coding RNA is filed under the name Sus scrofa (pig). RNAcentral describes it as "lncRNA (ENSSSCG00015051721.1)". Lineage: Eukaryota; Metazoa; Chordata; Mammalia; Artiodactyla; Suidae. The record is from RNAcentral.